UUAUAAGCAAGCAAACUCUCCUCAGUUAUGUUGUUUAGCUAAACAAAGUAGAAAUAGGAAGGAAAAUGUCAAUGUUCCCUCAUUUACAAGUAACUCAUCUCAUAUGUCACACAAUGUACAACAUUUUAAAUGAAGAAAUCAGUAUUAUAGACUAUUAAGGGAAAAAUAAACAAAAAAUACAGAGCAUAAACAAAAACACAGCUAUUUACAACUCACCUACUA
This 222-nucleotide long non-coding RNA is filed under the name Prunus persica (peach). RNAcentral describes it as "long non-coding RNA (PPER_LNC006119)". Lineage: Eukaryota; Viridiplantae; Streptophyta; Magnoliopsida; Rosales; Rosaceae. The record is from RNAcentral.